This 62-nucleotide small RNA is filed under the name bovine gut metagenome. RNAcentral's name for it is "cow-rumen-1 RNA". It matches the Rfam family "cow-rumen-1 RNA". Rfam says of the family: cow rumen metagenome. Environment (Cow rumen (57)) The record is from RNAcentral.
AGUGGUCACUGAGUUAGAGCUUAACAGUGUAGAAAAUCCACCGCCGGACACGAUCAAAGAGG